UUGUUUAUUUUGUUUAUGACUCGGACGCAUUAAUGCAGUGUAAAAAUGACCUCCGGGGCCGCCGCGAGGCGUUACCCCGAAGCAACAGCGUCGAUUCGCAAGGGGUUGGAGGUAGGGCCACGAGGGCCCGUAACUCGGUAAUGAUCCCUCCGCAGGUUCACCUACGGAGA
This 170-nucleotide unclassified non-coding RNA is filed under the name uncultured fungus. RNAcentral describes it as "sequence contains ITS1". The record is from RNAcentral. Lineage: Eukaryota; Fungi.